GUGAAAUUGUUGAAAGGGAAGCGCUUGCAGCCAGACUUGCCUGUAGUUGCUUAUCCGGACUUUUGUCCGGUGCACUCUUCUGCGGGCAGGCCAGGAUCAGUUUGGGCGGUUGGAUAAAGGUCUUAGGCACUUAAUUCCUUCGGGAGCAAAUAUAGCCGAGACGAAAUACAACCAGCCUGGAUUGAGGUCCGCGCAUUUAUGCUAGGAUCCUGGCGUAAUGGCUGUAAGCGGCCCGUCUUGAAACACGGACCAAGGAGUCUAAUAUCCAUGCGAGUGUUUGGGUGUCAAGCCCAGACGCGUAAUGAAAGUGAACGGAGGUGGGAACCUUUUAGGUGCACCAUCGACCGAUCCUGAUGUUUUCGGAAGGAUUUGAGUAAGAGCAUGGCUAUUGGGACCCGAAAGAUGGUGAACUAUGCUUGAAUAGGGUGAAGCCAGAGGAAACUCUGGUGGAGGCUCGCAGCGGUUCUGACGUGCAAAUCGAUCGUCAAAUUUGAGCAUAGGGGCGAAAGACUAAUCGAACUAUCUAGUAGCUGGUUCCUGCCGAAGUUUCCCUCAGGAUAGCAGUAACGAAUUCAGUUUUAUGAGGUAAAGCGAAUGAUUAGAGGCCUGGGGGCUGAAACAGCCUUCACCUAUUCUCAAACUUUAAAUAUGUAAGAAGUCCUUGUUACUUGAUUGAACGCGGACAUUUGAAUGAAACGUUACUAGUGGGCCAUUUUUGGUAAGCAGAACUGGCGAUGCGGGAAUGAACCGAACG
Molecule: ribosomal RNA, 754 nt
Filed under: uncultured fungus
Lineage: Eukaryota; Fungi
Description: LSU rRNA
Rfam family: Eukaryotic large subunit ribosomal RNA
Source: RNAcentral